GAAAAUUACAAGCAUAAGCUUAAAACUCAAAGGACUUGGCGGCGUUUUAAACCCACCUAGAGGAGCUUGUCCUAUAACCGAUAACCCACGUUAAACCUUACCUUCUUUCGCACUCAGUCUAUAUACCGCCGUCGUUCAGCUCACCUUUUGAGAGCCUUAUUAGUAAGCAAAAUUGGUUAAGCCCAAGACGUCAGGUCGAGGUGUAACACAUAAGAAGUGAAGAGAUGAGCUACAUUUCCUACCUAAGGGUUUCCCGGAAAAUAUUUUGAAACUAAAUAUAUUGAAGAAGGAUUUAGCAGUAAGUAAAAACCAGAAAGUUUUACUGAAAUCGGCCCUGAAACGCGCACACACCGCCCGUCGUUCUCCCCAAUUUUUACUUCAUUUUUACAUUAAAAAUUUAUACCUCACAAGGGGAGGCAAGUCGUAACAUGGUAAGUGUACUGGAAAGUGCACUUGGAUAAAG
RNAcentral lists this ribosomal RNA (463 nucleotides) under Laimosemion frenatum. Its description in RNAcentral is "partial 12S ribosomal RNA". It matches the Rfam family "Bacterial small subunit ribosomal RNA", at positions 875 to 1525 of the family's 1533-position model. The record is from RNAcentral. Lineage: Eukaryota; Metazoa; Chordata; Actinopteri; Cyprinodontiformes; Rivulidae.